RNAcentral lists this ribosomal RNA (305 nucleotides) under uncultured bacterium. RNAcentral describes it as "bacterial SSU rRNA". It matches the Rfam family "Bacterial small subunit ribosomal RNA", at positions 338 to 641 of the family's 1533-position model. The record is from RNAcentral.
CCUACGGGAGGCAGCAGUGAGGAAUAUUGGUCAAUGGCCGGAAGGCUGAACCAGCCAAGUCGCGUGAGGGACGACUGCCCUAUGGGUUGUAAACCUCUUUUAUAAGGGAAGAAUAAAUGCUACGUGUAGCAUGAUGCCUGUACCUUAUGAAUAAGCAUCGGCUAACUCCGUGCCAGCAGCCGCGGUAAUACGGAGGAUGCGAGCGUUAUCCGGAUUUAUUGGGUUUAAAGGGUGCGUAGGCGGUUUUUUAAGUUAGUGGUUAAACGUCGGGGCUUCACCUUGAUUUGCCAUUAAUACUGUAAGAC